AAAACAAUAAGCAUAGGGUCACUGCGUGAAAUUUGUAGACCAUGUAAAUAGAGUUGUUCACUCCUUUUUAAUAAUGUUACAUGCGAGGAGAAAAUGUGAAGUAAGAGUAACAACAUUCUUCUAUCCCUCUGAAAUAGUUGCAAUUUUUCAAUCGAAAUCUGAAAUUACGCUAUUUUUAGGUGAACCAAGCAGGUCAACAACAUCUAAUUGGGGCGGAGGAAGGCAUCAGCGAGCAUCUGUCCAAGCUGAAUUUGUGCAGCAGUAGUAAGGUGCGUAUAAUCUGGCCCG
This 288-nucleotide long non-coding RNA is filed under the name Solanum tuberosum (potato). RNAcentral describes it as "long non-coding RNA (STUB_LNC002323)". The record is from RNAcentral. Lineage: Eukaryota; Viridiplantae; Streptophyta; Magnoliopsida; Solanales; Solanaceae.